Molecule: transfer RNA, 84 nt
Organism: Felis catus (domestic cat)
Lineage: Eukaryota; Metazoa; Chordata; Mammalia; Carnivora; Felidae
Rfam family: tRNA
About the family: Transfer RNA (tRNA) molecules are approximately 80 nucleotides in length. Their secondary structure includes four short double-helical elements and three loops (D, anti-codon, and T loops). Further hydrogen bonds mediate the characteristic L-shaped molecular structure. tRNAs have two regions of fundamental functional importance: the anti-codon, which is responsible for specific mRNA codon recognition, and the 3' end, to which the tRNAs corresponding amino acid is attached (by aminoacyl-tRNA synthetases). tRNAs cope with the degeneracy of the genetic code in two manners: having more than one tRNA (with a specific anti-codon) for a particular amino acid; and 'wobble' base-pairing, i.e. permitting non-standard base-pairing at the 3rd anti-codon position.
Source: Rfam
GCCUGGGUGGCUCAGUCGGUUGAGCGUCUGACUUCAGCUCAGGUCGUGAUCUCACGUUUGUGAGUUCGAGCCCCGCGUCAGGCU